RNAcentral lists this long non-coding RNA (17090 nucleotides) under Equus asinus (donkey). Its description in RNAcentral is "lncRNA (ENSEASG00005036658.1)". The record is from RNAcentral. Lineage: Eukaryota; Metazoa; Chordata; Mammalia; Perissodactyla; Equidae.
CUUGCUAGAACGCACAGUAAAGAGCACGACAAACUGCUAAGUAGAAGAGAGAAGAUUUUGGAAGCAGGAGGGCUCUGGGCACUGGAGGAGAAGGAGGGAUAUCUCCAAGUCGGGAGGGAGCAGAGAAAGGGGAAUUUCCAGACAUAAGCUAAGUUUUCCACUUGACAGUUUCGCCUUGGGCCUAUCCUGUUUGUCUUUAUCUGGACUCAGAUAACUAGUAGCUGAGGCCAAAAGAUUUGUCCUUUGUUUUGCAUGACAGAGCACAGUCCAGCCCAAGGGAGAAUUAUCUUAGAGUCUACCACAGAAAAACGGGAGGAAGAGAGAAGACAUACUUCUGUGGAGAUGUUUUCUUCCAAAAUUCUUCUUCUGCAUGAUCUUUGUUUCCCAAAUACAGUUCUGAGAUGUUUAUGAGUUCCUUUAAAAUGUUUCCUCCUUCUACUAUCUCUUUUUCCUUCUUUCCUGCCCUAAGCAUUCUUAUCUUUAUUGAUUUUGGACUUCAACCACCCUGCAUUUUGUGGGAAAUGGAGAGAGUUUUAAGAGUGAGUUAAUAAAUUUAGUGCUAGGACAGAGGAAAGACACUCGACAGAGGGUUAUGGCCAACCUAUUUGCCUAAAGUCUCAAUUCACCGUGCUAGGGAUUUGGUUUAAGUUGUGGAUAAAGAUGUUUAAAGAUUCUAGGAAAGCAUAUGCAGAUGCUGAUCACAGGAAUGUAGACACUCAAAAGAAAGGUUUUAUUUAGUCAUUCAAUGAAUAUUUAUUGUGCAAUAAAUACUGCUAGCUGCUGGUGAUAUAGUAGUACAAAGGAAAAACAGAUACUGUUCCUGGUCUCACAAGGCUUUAAUUUCAUGUGGGGAGGAGAAAAAACAAACAAAUAAGUAAUAUAAUAAUAUGUUAUGUGCCAGGUGAUAUUUAGCACUAUCAAGAAAAACAAAGCAGGUUGAUGGAUUAGAUAGUGACUGCCAAGGAAGGAGAGGGUGUAGCCAAUUUUAAGAAGUUUUCUUCUGAAGGUGACAUUUGGAAAGGGACCUUAAUGAAGUAGGGAGCCAACCACUCUGAUAUUUAGAGGAAUGCAUUUUCAGGCAGAGAGACCAGCAAGUACAAAGGCCAUGAGGAGAGAGCAUGCCUGGCAUAUUCAAAGAGAGCAAGGAGUCUAUGGGGCUGGAGCAGAGUGACCAAAGAGGAGGGUGGUGUCUCAGUUAGUUGGCAAUAAUCAAGUCAAGGUAGAGCCUUAGAAACCACUGGAAGGACUUUUUUUUUCCUGAGUGAUAUAGAAUGGCAUGGAGUUUGUUGAGCAGAGCAGUAAAAUAAUCUCAUCUAUGUUCUAACCAAGUCAACUUGGCUGCUAUGUUGAGAAUACAUUAACGAGAAGAAUCUAGAAGUCAGAAGGACAUUGAGAUGGUAGCAGAACGGGAACAGAUAUCUUAGAAGCUGAGAAUAUAAAAUGUUUUAGGAAGGGAGUGGUGGUCAACCAUAUUAAAUGCUGCUAUGUUGGCAAGUAUGUUUGUCCAUUGGAUUGGGUAAUGGAAAGACAGGGUUGACCAGAGCAGUUUCCGUGGAGCUGGGAGUUGAAAGACUGACUGAAGUGCUUUCAGGAGAGUGAAGGAAUUGGAGACAUAAAUAAAAUAUAGACAAAGUUUUUGUCAGUUUUGUGUAAAAGAGACUGGAAAUGAGAAAGUGAAAGGAGAAAUAGAGGAUGGGAAUGUGUAAAGGGAAUGUGAAAUCAAAGAAAGUUUGUUUGGAUUUGUUUGUUUUAAGAUGGGAGCUUACAGCAUCCUUGUGUAGUGAUUAUCUAGUAGAUAAGGGAUGUGGUGAUUCAAGAGAGAUUGGGGACAUUUAUGGAAACAAAGCCCUUGAAUAAGACACGCAGGAAUGGGGGCCAGUGGAUAGACCCUGUAAAGGUUGUGUGGAGGAGGUGAUUUUAUUUUUUUCAGCUUUAUUGGGAUACAACUGACAAAUACAAAUUGCAUAUAUUUAAGGUAUACAACUUGAUGCUUUGAUAUACAUAUAUAUUGUAAAAUGAUCAUUGCAAUCAAGCUAGUUAACAUAACUAUCACCACAUAUAGUUACCAUUUUCUUUGUGUGUGUGGUGAGAACCCUGAAGAACCAUCAUCUUAGCAAAUUUCAAGUAUACAUUACAGUGUUGUUAUCCAUAGUCACCAUACUGUACAUUAGAUCUCGAGAACUUAAUCAUCUUAUAUAACUGAAACUUUGCACCCUUUGAUCAGCAUCUUCCCAUUUCCCCCAACUCUUGGCAACCACCAUUCUAUGUGCUUCUAUGAUUUCAACUAUUUUAGAUUCCACAUGUACCUGAGAUCAUGGACUAUUUGUCUGUCUGUGUCUGGCUUAUUUCACUUAGCAUAAUGUCCUCCAGUUUCAUCCAUGCUGUCACAAAUGCUAAGAUUUCCUUCCUUUUUAUGGCUGAAUGAUAUAUCUAUUUUCUUUAUCCAUUCAUUUCCAUAUCUUGGCUAUUGUAAAUAAUGCUGCAUUGAACAUAUGAAUGCAGAUAUCUCUUGGGGAUAACUUAUUUUAUUUCCUUUGGAUAUAACCCCACAAGUGGUAUUGCUUAAUCAUAUGGUAAUUUUAUUUCUAAUAUUUUGAGGACCCUCCAUACUGUUUUCUAAAAUGGCUAUACCAAUUUCUAUUCCCACUAACAGUGUUCAAGUGUUCGCUUUUCUCUACACCCUCUCCAACACUUGUUAUCUCUUGUCUUUUUGAUAAUAGCCAUUCUAACAGGCGUGAGGUGAUGGUUUGACUUUUGAUGUGAGUACAUCCACUGCAACAGGAAGAAAUGCAAAGUAGUGGUAGAGAUAAAGUGAAGUAUACAUCGGGUGGUGGGAACAUGUAGAUACUAUUUUCUGAUAGCUACUAUUUUAGCAAUGAAAUAUGAAGUAAGAGCAUCAGCUGAAGUAAAGAAGAGCAGAGAGUAUGUUAGAGAUUCUGAGGAGAAAGGAUAAACGAUGAAAUAGUCAUUUUGGAGAGUGUGGAGGUAAAUUGGGACAUGUAAUAGGAUUGCUAGGAGCAACAUGGGUCGACUGUAGGUGAUGGUCAUACGUUUUAAGUGGCACAAGUCAGUACAGUCAUAUGUUCUGCUAAGUCAUGCCCAGCUUCUCAGAGUCAAGCACAGAAUAGGCAAAAGUUUGAUUCAACUGGGGUGAAGUUUUGUCAGGCAACUAUACAACGAAGGAAGAGAGACAGCAAUGUCAUCGAGCUAUUGUGUGAGGAGUGGUUAUGAUGAUGGAUCAUAUACUGGGUAAGGAGAGAAGUGAGGAUGUAAAAGGAUAAAAGACAAGCAAAAGUUGAUAGGAUAAAUCUCCCCAUGGAAUUGAAGAAUCUUUGGAUGGCAUAUAAAGGAGAUUUACUGAAAAUCAAUAGAAAGAGGUGAUCACAAAGUGGGAUAUUUCAUAUGGAGAUUGCUGAGAUCUGUAGUUGGUGGCAACAACAAGAUGUAGGAUAUGACCUGGGAGCAGGUGGCUGAGGGAGGUGAGGACAAGAUCAUUGGACAUGAGAAGGUCAAGGCACUGAGAGCCAGGAUAUUGAAAGCAUUCUCCACAAUGUGAGUUACAUGGACAUCAAAAUCACCAAAGAUGAUUGGAGAGUGGUAGUGGAGAGUCAGUCAGCUACUUGCUGAAUUUUCCCUGAAUGAGGAGGGAUGACCUCAGUGUCUGCACAUGACUGGAACAAAGGAGGAGGGCUAUGAUUGGAAGUUGCCAUAGGCAUGAACUUCAAAGGGGCUGGGAUUUUCUUUUUAAAGGAAGAAGUUAGUACUGGUUUGGAAGGACCAACAAGAAGCAAAGGGGAACAUCUAUCAUGCCCUCCAUAUUUAUGGGAUGCAACGGAAAAAAUAUCACCUUUUUGGAGGCUACAGGGGAUGCAGUAUCCACAAGGGCGACCAGGUUUUAGUUAGAGCAGGAAAGUGAAAUAAACAUUUAAAGAAGAAUUUGAGAAUUCCAGAGAUUAAGUUGGUGAGUUAUCAGGGAUUCCAGAGGGCACAUUGGAAGGAUUUGAGGGAGAAGGGAGGAAUGGAAGAUUGCUCCAGAUUAGAGGAUGUUAAAAUUGACAUGGGGAUGAGAGUUCAAGUAAUGAGAUGACUUAUGGUUCCUGGGGGUGACUGAAGUAAAUAGGAAUGUAGGGCAUGAUGGGAUUAGUCCAGAAACAAGAUUUUGUUGUCUGCAGAAAGGAUUACUCAACCUCCUAAUCAUUUCAGGAAGUAUCCAAGAAGUCAGGAAAGGUGAGAAGAGGGAUUUGAGUUUGUAAUAGAAAUGCCAAACCAGAAAGGUUUAGAUUUACUCAACAUGCCUGACUACUUAACAGAAGCCUGCAUUUUCAGUACUAUAAUUUACUAGUAGACCCCCUGUAGUGAAUGGUCAAAAAAACCUGCACCAGAAUUUUGAUGACUAUCACAUUACCAGCAAUUAUUGAGUACUCAUUUUGGAUACUUACCGUGCUAUGCUAUUUAUUUGCAUUAUUUCAUGUAAUUUUAUAAACAACACUGUAAAUAGGUCUAAUCAUUUCCAUUUCACAGUUAAAAAACACACACACAAAAAUGAGGGUCAGCUUGGGGCUGGCCCCGUGGCCGAGUGGUUAAGUUCGCGCGCUCCGCUGUAGGCGGCCCAGUGUUUCGUUGGUUCGAAUCCUGGGCGCGGACAUGGCACUGCUCAUCAGACCACGCUGAGGCAGCGUCCCACAUGCCACAACUAGAAGAACCCACAAUGAAGAAUACACAACUAUGUACCGGGGGGCGUUGGGGAGAAAAAGGAAAAAAUAAAAUUAAAAAAAAAAAAAAAAUGAGGGUCAGCAAAGAUUUGAACUUAGAGCUUCUGACUCCAAAGUUAAUGUUGAAGGAUAGUGAGGGCGUGGAGCUUUGGAAGAUAGAACUGUAAAGGAGAAGUGAAAUUCUGGUUCUAGGAGUGAUUCAGCUCCACAAACAUCAAGGGUCCAUAUUUCCGCAUUGCACUCAGCCCUGGGAUAAGAGAGAUUAAUAAAACAUGAUCUUUGCCCUAGAGGAGCUUGAAAUCUACUAGACAGAACUUGUAAACCAAAAUUAUAGUCCAUUAUGACAAGUGCAAAGAUAAAAAGGCCUGUGUCCAGAUAGAGGCAGUACAGAGGAAGAAGUGACUAACCAGAUAUCAGGAUGGUUUUAAGGGACCAAUCAGAGUUUCCCAGGCAGACAAAGGAUGUAGCACGCUCUAGAAGGGGCCAAUGUAAUUAAAGAACAGGUGGAUUGGUUACAUUUGAAUUUGAAGAGGGACCCAACAUUUUAUAAGAUUGUAGGGAAAAAUAUAAGGAUUAGUGAACAUAUAGUCACAUGUAAAAUGGGGUGGGGCCAAUGACAACAUUAGCUUAAAAAAGACUAUCCUUUGGAUUUAUGUAAGUUGUAUAGUUUUUCUCAAAAAAGCAGACAGCCUGAUGAGAAAAAAAAUUUUAAAUUUCUGGCCAGAGCUUCUCAUAUCUUUAAUAAUCACAAGUAUGUCUUAUCCCCAUUAUACAAAUGAGAAGAAACGAGACAUAAGUCCAAAUCUAUUUUACUCCAAAUUCCAUGUGGUUUAUAUCUCCCACAAAGGUGAUUCCAAAAAUAUACCAUAACCCAUGUAAGUCAUUUGGCCAAGUUGGAACCAGUGCUGAGAGAGAAGAAACUGGGGAAGAAAAAAACAAAAGCAAAAAAAUGAAUCACAUAAUAAUACAGAAGGAUUUUAUAGGAAAAAUACAGAUUGCAGAAAAUUUUCCUUCAUCGUUAUGAACACUAGCCUAAUUUGUGUAAGUGCCAAGAAUACAAAAAGCCUUAGAACACCAUCCAUAUUUUAUGUUAGAGACAAUGCGUAUGAAAAUAAUAUAAUUGUUUAUUCAUUCAUAAUUUACACAAAAUAUAUAUAUUUAUGUAUUUAGGAGUUAAUAUACACUGGAAAGUUUGCUGGUUCAUAUAAAAUUCGUAUAAAAUAAAUAAGACAGGAUCUCUGCCCCAGGAACUCACAGUCAGGUAAAGGAGACACAAACAAACAAGUAAUUGAUUUACGGAAAGUGCUCAAAGAGCACAUACAAGAGAGCUCUUAGCUUGAGGGUCACCCCACACUGGAAAAUAAAUGUGUUAUCCAGCACACAGUGGAUGCUCAAUGAGGCUAUAGCUGUAAGUGUUGCCCAAUAGAUGUGAGUGAAAGCAAGAGUCUCUGGUUACUUUUUGGUUUCUGAGUUUUGGCCUAUUCAACUAGAAUGUUAAGGAGCUGAGAUCUGGGUAUAUUUAUAUGUAACUGCCCCAGGCGAUUCCUCUGAAGAGACAAAUUUGGGAAGCAUGAGUUAAGGCAGUGGUUUUAAACCACAGGUAUACAUUAGAAUCAUUUGGGGAGCUUAAAAAAGAGUGCUGCCUGGGCUCCAUUCCAGUCCCAUCGAACUAGGAUCUCUGGUGGUGGGGCUGAUGUAUUAGCAUUUUUAAAAUACUGCUCAGGUGAUUCCAAUGGUCAGCCGGGAAUUGGAAACCACUGAGUUAAGGGAUUGGCUCAGAAGGGAUAGCCCAAAAAGGAGGCUAAGAAAGAGCACAAUGAAAAGAACAAUGCUGGAGAUAGAAGGAGAUGCGAGAAAAAGUCACACUGCAGCAUCACAAGAGCCUCUCAGAAAGGAUCAAAGGUGUAGUCAACUCCCAAAUAUCAUGGAGACAUCAGCAUGGGUUGAUCUGAUUAUUAUAAGUUGGCUGGUGACCCUGAUGAGGGGAUUCAAAGGAUGGUGGGACAGAAGCCAGAUUAUAAUGCAUUGAGAACAGAGCGAAGGAGAGAAAGUGAACCGAGAGAGAGAGAGUACAGAUUAUUCUUUCAAGAAAUUUGCUUUGAAAGGAAGACAGGGAGGGGGAAAGUGGGAGAACCUGAGACCUAGAACCGUUAUUAGGAGAAAAGAAAGCUCUUCCUCUAAGAAAAGCCUUAAAGGUGGGUUCGGAUAUGGACAGGUUUAUACCUUUGGGGCAGGAGGGAAAUUUGAAUCCCACCAAAGGAACUAAUUUGUGCUGACUAAGCCAAAAAGCUAAGGAAAGGAGCAGAGAGGAAAGGUGGUGUUGAAGAACCAGGGGAUAAUUUAAAGAAGUUGAGGAGAGUGGGACUGAGUUAAGGGAGAGGUACAAAGGCCUGAUGAGUGCAUCAAGGGCAUUGCCUUGGCAGGAGAUGUUCAAAUGAACCAGUUACACAACUUUAUUCAGCAAAGUUCUGAAGUCUUGGUAUAGAAGCCAAUACUGGACAAAUUAAUUGACUUGAGACAGGUGAAUUAUGGGACAAGGGGAGCAGAAGAUUUAGUACUGUCAGCAUUCCUUUCCUCAUAAUAUUAGGUAGCGUACAAAUGAUAUCAGAAGCAGUCAUCCCAGGUCCAGUGCAAGAGGGAAUGGCUUCCUGGGAAAACAUUACAUGGGGGAAGGGGGAGUUAUUAAAUAUUAGGUCUAUGUAAGAGAAUGAAGAGUGUUAAGGGAAGUUGAAUGGCACUGGUGCUGAGACCACAAACACGUUGCUUAAGCUGGCGACAGUGACAAGUUUGGUUGGAGUGGAAGACUUAUGAGUGUAGAAGAGAAGAAAUAGACAAGGCCCAAUAGUGAAAGGUCUUGGAUGCUGAGAUAAGGAGAUAUAGACUGAAUCUUAUGAGGGUGAAGAGCUCUUGUUUGCUUUUGAUGGUGGAAAAUGUGUGCAAAGUUGCAUUUUCGGGAGGUUAAUUUGGCAGCCACCUAUCUGAUGCCUCUGGAUUUUAGACGUUGAUCUCCAAGUUUCUCUUAGUUUUCACUAUUGAGCUUUUCUAGAAGUCUACUCUCCCAUUCCUCACAAUCACUGCUAAUUAGCACCUUGUGCUCCUGUCUGCACCACUAUCAUCACAGAUUUUGCUCUUGCCUCAUUCCAAAACUACUGAAAUUUCCUCCUCCCUUGGCGUCCUUCCUGCUUCCAUUUCUACGUAUCAGUCUGUUCUUUUUCUUUCUUUUUUGAAGUCUCUUCCUUUUCCAUCCCCCUAAUGCAGGGAUCACUCUGGAGCCUUUGCUCUUGCUUGUCUUCUUCUGAGGACACCUCCCCUUUACAGCUCAACCACCUCUGUGUAGGUGACACCAAUCUAUACCUCCAGUCAUCACUGCUAUCCUGAGUUCCAGACCCAAAAUUUCAACUUCCCUUUAUAAGUUUUCACAUGGGGUCCCUCUUGUACAUCAGACUCAGUGUUUCUAAAACAGAAUCAUUACAUUUCCUGCAAAAGAGUUUCUUUCCGCGCACAUAAAACUUUUUUUUUUUUUUAAUUUUGUACUCCCAAUAACAUUAUAACCAGGGUUGUUGUAGUAGUGUCUUAAUUGGCUUGUUGGAUUCUGGUUUUUCAUUUCUUUGAUUUUAGUUAUGCACAUUGGCAGAUAAAUCUUCCUGAAAAGGAGUUUGAUUCGUUUUCUCCAACUCACCCCAUUCCUUAGCCUUCUUGGCCCCACAAGGAAGGUUUAUGGGCUCUCCACUGUUCAUAGAUUGAAGGCCAAAAGCUUAAACUUCUCAGCUUCUGCUGUCUGUCCCCAUCUAUCUCUCAAAUCAUUUGCUGUUUAGUGGCAAUAAUAUUUCUGUUGAUCUUUAGGGUUUUCUGUACCAUUUCUGUUUCCUAAAUUGAGUUAUAUUAAGCCCCCACUUUCAUUUUAUUUGCUUAUUUAUUUAAUAGGUAAGCAUUUCCCAACAACUCCUGUAUUCUGACAGGAGGUAAGGGCUUCAAACUUGAUAAUUACCUGCCCUACAUUUUUCCCCGUCUACCCCAAACACGAGGUGUUCCAUGUUCAACUCCCAAAUGAGAUUUUUGCCUGAAGGUGACUCUGACUUUGCUAAUAAAAGGUGUAUUUCUUUUUACUCAUAAUAAGAUUUUUAUAAGGAAAUAUUCUCUAUUAGUACUUUUUUGCCUGCUGUUUUUUCCUUUCUUCAAAAGAGGUUUUCUAGAUAAGUAAUCAGUGAGGCAGACGUCCAUCUGUGUUAGUACCUUCUUAUACAGAUUAUUGCACACAUAGCAAAUGGUAUAUUCUGGGACCUCUCCUGGCCCAUUAGCCUUUCUGGUUGCAUAAGAGUUCAAUCUCUACUUCCUUAAGUGGGAAAGGACUUCUUUAUAUGCACUGCCAUUUGAUUCUCAAGGUCUUGUUCUUUAGCUAGAAUUUUAAAACUGGCUCAUGCUUCCGUGUUACGUGAAGGAAUGGCUAAGGAUGUACCCAUGAAGUUUUUGUACUGCAGGGUCCAGAGAGAAAGGAAGCUCUCCAAUCGGAGCCCUCCUGGUUCUGGAUGCCUUUCUUUAUACUAAGGCUGCUUUCCUCCAGGAGUGUCAUACUUUAUUCAGUUCCCUCAGCUGCUUUUCCAAUCAUCUGAGCUUUAAUACACACAAUUUCCACUGUUUGUUCUUCCUGUAAAAUAUAGCUUCAACAAUUGCUUGAGUUUUGCAACUUAAAUAUUUAUUUAAGCCUAUUCUUUCUGCCAAAUUUUAAACGUUGUUUUCAUCAUCACCGUUUCUAGAAGUCAUAAGUUGCUUCUCGAGGAUUUAAAAAAAAUAAGAACAUGAGAAAUAUGGACUAAUUUGCAGAAUACUUUUUGGCAUUGUAACGUCUUUUGCAUAAAUAGUUUUUCCUCUCUAACAUGAUUAUAAGCUUCACGUGGGUAAUAAUCAAUCAUAUUGUCUAGCCCUUUGUAUCCAAUACCAGCAUCUAAUAGGGCCAUGUAGAUAGUAAACAGUCAGGAAAUAUAUGUUGACUUUUUGGCUCAGGAACAAAAUCUACCAGUGUUGAAAAGGGACUUUUCGUAACCAGCAACUUCAAAUCAAUCGUGCUAAUUUACUGAACUUAGAAUUGAACCAAGCCUCAAUUUUUAAAAAUAGCUUUUUAGAACAAACCUUUGUUUGUUUCUCUCCACCUCUCCCAAUAUGUAAGGAAUUCUGUGGGUUAUCUAGAUCUUUAUGUGUUAAUAGGGAUGAAGUAUUAACUUGUCCCACUUAUUAUUAAUGAUUUCAUCUAGUGCCAUACAGCAAGGAAAUCAAGAAUGGUCUUGUUUCUUGAAUUUAUAAUAAAUGGAUUAAAACAAUUCUAUUCGCACAUCUAUAAGUUUUGGAGUUAGACUAAAGCUGUAGGCUCCUUGGGGGUGUGUGUUUUAAAUUUUUUAAUUGGGAACUCACUCAAAACAACUUACCCUUUUCUAGUAAAUAAAAGUGUAAUAACGGAUCCUAGAAGGAAAAAUUAGAAACUUCUUUAGAAUGUUGUGUUUGAAUAUGCACUUGAACUUUUAGGUGAAUAACUUAGGCAGUAUUAUGGCAAAUCCCUUGAAAAGUCCACCUGGAAUCUAUGUCAAAUAAUUGUUAGAAAAGAAAAAGUAUAUCAAUAGACAUGAUUCUGCAGAAUCUGAAGAUGGUUUUAAAAAGGCAAAAGAAAAAAAAAGCUUCUGGAUGUGGAUUCAUUUAAAAAAUAUUUUACACCAAAAUUUUACUUUAAUUUAAAUUUGAACUCAAUAUGGGAAAGUAUUGGUUGCAAGCAAAUCAUAAAUCAUGAAUAUUUUAAAGACUUUGCUAACCCUGUGCUUGCUGCCAUGAAGUACAUAUGAAAAAUAGAAAAAGAAAAAGAAAUCUUUGUUCUCAUAGUUUAUUCUCGUUAGUGAAAAAAAUUAAAAGGAGGAAAAGUUAAAUAAUAAAAGACUGAAAAAUCCCCUUCAGAUUAAAAACGGAAGAGAGAGCACAGGGCAAUAUUUAGUCACAAACAUAUUCUUUGGUCUAGCCCUGUGUUUAAGGGUGUGUUCUCCCCUCCUUCUCUCCCAAAGCGUACCUGAGCCUCCUCUGCAUGUCAGGCCCUGUGCUGGGUAUAGGGUUACAGAGAAGAAUGAGGCACAAUUUCUGCCCUACAAUGAGGGGCAUAAUUGGAAUCUUCAGGAAUCAUCAUUUGACAGCCCAAACAUCAGAGAGCUGGGGGAGGGGUGUCUCUGUUACAUCCAUAAUCUUCGGGUUCUUAGAAGGCUUUUAGCCCCACCCAUGGUGUCUCCCAGUCAUAAGAUUCAUUAAGUAGGGAUCGUAGCCUGCCCUAUACAACUAUACUAGGACAUCUUCAAGGAACCCAGUUGAUUCUUCUAAUCCAGUCUGAUCUUCAGAAUGGGGAGAAGAUCUAAACUAGGUUAACUAGAAGGCAAUAGGGAACCUAUAAUCAUUACUAAAUAAGACUAAGAGGUGAAACUAGGACUCAAACUCCAGGCUAUGUUGUCUCCAAAUUAUUUUCGUUAGAUUCUGACAUAUUCUGAGCUUCAUCGAUCACCAACAGUUGUUGCUCCUGAAAAUCUGAAGAACGAUGAGGAUAAGCAGAGGUUUAGAGUUAGGUCAUAGAAAGUCUUCUGUGGAUAAGAAAUGUAUGUCUUAAGGGAAAUAAGGGUACUUUCUAAACUUACCAUGACCUGUAAGUAAAGAAAUCGUGUAGUCCCUGGAACAUAAUGUGAUCAAUAAAAAUUAUUGUUAAGGGAAAGAUCUGUGUCAAAGUGAUGUAUAGCUUUCCGAGGACAGCUAUGGAGACUGUUAUCAAAGAUACUCCCAUGCAGUGUCUGUAGCUCAAUCUGAGGAGGAUGUUAGGUGUCUCCUUAUUCCCACAAAUAGGUCAGAGUUUGUAUAUGAGAAGGAUGGCAAUAGAUUAUUGUGUUUCCAUUUUCUGACUUUUAUUUCAGGAAUGGUUUUGUCUGGCUGCCUAGCUUCUCUUGGUCCUUCUGGCUCUGGUAUUAACUCCAUGAAACAGGCAUCUGGGGACUCUGCUUCUCUCUUACCUUAGUAGAAAGAUUUACUAGGUUUUCUCAUUAAGGGGGUUGUGAUGUCCCAGGGAGGCUAAAAGUCUUAGCAUUUUUCCCUCAUUUAAAGUGUUUUUAACUCUCUCAUCUGAUCCAGAUCUUUAGACCGUGUCUAUGGUAAGUUGGGCAUGGAUACUGGACUCUAGGAUAUUUCCAUUCUGCUAAUUCUAGUUUCUGAAAUCUUAUAGGAUAGAUGAAAUUAUGUGAUGCUUUCUGAGCGUCUCCUGAGAGAAACUCUUGGGCUCCAUCAGAGCCUAUGCUAAAAUUAUUAAGAACUCAGUGCACAUGAUGUCAGCCUGGUUCAGUGCCCAAACAUGGAGCUCAUAUCAAAGACUGUUUGAAAACAUAAGUAACCUUAGUGCUGGUGACUUUAAAUUCUGAGGAUGCCUCUGAGGAGUGUGGAGAGUCUGGUUGGACCUGGCAGUUUGUUUAUUCCUUAUGAAAACAUUAGGUGUCAGGGCAAUGGCUCAAAGGAAAUGACUCUCACACAUUCCUUUAAGUAGGGAGAAGAGAGGUAUGCUGGUUCCUUCUAUACCAUAUUAGGAAUAUGCCUAAGGGUCCCAUGGAGGCAGAAAGGGGUCAUACAAAACACUGAGGAGUCUCAGCUCAGACAGGGUAUUAAUUUGAGGGAAGAAAAAGUUGGGAGAAAAACAAACCUUCCAGCAAUCGGGAAAGACUUGGGGAAAAAAGGAAGGGGCACUUUACCUUGGAAUCUGAGACUCAGCAGCCAGGUGGGAAAGAGGAUUGGCAGGAAAGAGGCAGGAUUUGAGGGCGGGGAUGUGGAUAAGUAAGCAUUCUUUACAGAUCCAAAUCUGGGAGAUGACCUUUUUCUAUUACUCUGGAGUGUUUGUCCCCAGUGCACCUUUAGUAAAUUGUGUUAAUUCUGGAUUUGUGAGGUGGGGCUUAAAAAGCUAUUAAGUUCAGGUGGAACAUCUAAGAAAACAUCUAUUUGAUUUGAAGUUCUGUAAUUCAAGUAAUUCAGCAUGUUCGUUCAGUUGGAAACAAAAAUAGGGAAUAUUUUCUAGGUUCUUAUGUCUUCCUUAUAUCUUUCCAGUUCUAUUUGUCUAUGUUUUUAUUUUCAUCCCAACUAUUUGGCUUUAUUUGCAUUUUACUAUUAUAAAUGACCUCAAGAAAUCUUAGGAAGUGGGAGGUAAAUAUAAUAAAAUUCAUAAGAGUUCUUCUUCUUUGUGUGCUGGUAAGUUGUGCGGUGCUGUAACUACCCUGAAAGUUAAACAGAUUACUUUGAGGAAACAAAACUAAGAUUAUACUGCAAUCAUUUAGCUAACGUUCUGGCUGCUCAGGCAAAAUCUUAGUCACUCUCGCCAUCUUCUGUUUCUUCACACCUUGCAUCCAAUCCAGCAGCAAAGCCUGAGACUUUAACCCCCAAAUCGCUCUCAAAUCAAACUUUUCUCACCACCUCCAUUAAAACCCUCCUUGGCCAAUCCUUGAAAGGAAGCUUGGGUUGCAAUUGUCUCCUAAUGCUUCUAACUUGUCUUCCUCCUUCUAUCCUGACUCCCUAUUCUCAAUCCAGCAGCCGAACGGUCCUUUGAAAACCUAUCAUUUUCUCCUGUUUUUUCAUCUUAUUUGUAAUAAAAACCAAAGUCCUUAUUAUGAUCUGCAAAGCUAAGGUUGUAACUUCAGCUUCCUCUGAGCUAACCAGUUACUCUUCCCCAACUCAACCCUUCUGCUCCUUACUACUCAUUAAAUAUGACAGCACUCAACUGCCUCCGAGCUUUACUAGUUCUCAAUUUUCCCUAAAUACCUGCAUGGCUUGGUCCUUUACCUCCUUCAGUUCUGUGCCAAAUAGAAUUUUCACAAUGCUUUCCAUGAUUAUAUGUUAUAACCACACUCCCCUCCCCAUCCUGCCCCCAAAUCACUAAGCCUACUUUGCAAUUCUCCAUAGCGCUUAUCAGUGCUUCACCACACUUAUUUGUUAGUCUCCCCAGUUAAGAAUGUUUGUUAAGACCUUUUUCACUAGUUUAUCCCCAGAGCCUAGAUCAGUGCCUGACCCAAUGUAUGUUUCAACAAACAUUUAUUGGCUAAACAUUGAAUAAGGUAAUAAUCAGGGUUCCUCUUCUACCUAGGUGAAGUAGAUAGCACUAGCCCAUACCCUUGGGAAGCUGAAAAGUCAUGUUUACUUCUCACUUCUUGUUUACUCACCUGUUUUCCCCAAAUCAUAUUAACAUGAGUUUGCAUUCCACAAUUAAAAGGAAGAAUUAAAUUAUACUAGUUAGUUAUGCUUGCUCUUCAGGGAGAGGCCUCUCAAUGGAUAGCCAUGGACAUCCUUGCAGGUUGCAAGCUGCACACAAAUGUUAGCUGCGGGGUCAUAAGUGAAAUCCUGCCUGAGUUAACUCGAUUAGUUCUGUGCCUGACCUGGGGUUGCAUUGCACUGGAGGUCAUUCCAGAGGGUUUUUCUACUUCUCACAAAGGCAGGAAAUGUGAUGGGGGCAGAAGACGUAUGAGAGAAAGGAGGACAGGCUAGACAUUAGGGGUUAGGUGUGUGAGGAAGACUUACUUUGAACCAAGAAGGCUUGUAUUCUCUUUGAAGUUGCUUGCUUCUUUUAUUUAUGUUUUAUGUACCUGCAUUAUCUAUUUUUAAGGAAGGAAAAAAGGUAUAUGUGACAUCAUCAACACAUUGACAUAAUUUACCCUGAAAUAUAAUAGAUGGAUUGAUAGCAGAGCCUUCCUUAAGAAUGAGUCUGCUGGAUAUCUUCCAUUUGCCCUGCAGAUCUAUUUUCUACCCGCUGCACCCUGUUCUGUGCCCUGUGUGGUUGGUCUACAUGAACCACAUCAAUCAGCUUCCUUUCUUCUGGUAUCCAGUUGGGUUCAUCCGAUGUGGAACCUCAGAAAGAUAUUAGAAGGUCUGUCCAUGCAGCCCUGCUCCUGGGGGGAGAGGGAAAUGGUGGGAAUGAAGAAAGAGUCAGCUGAUGAAGAACUACUUCUUCUGAAAUCAACAUUCAGAAAGGUCAAUCACUUGACGUGGCUUCUUACUGGAAACAUCAGCAGUGGAUUUCGUACACUUAGGGGCUGUGGUGAACAAAACAACACAAGAUUAAAUCAAGGGCAAGAGAAAAUGAUGCAAUCAAGAGAUGCAGAGGGGCCGGCUCCGUGGCCUAGUGGUUAAGUUCGCGCCCUCUGCUGCGGCGGCCCAGGGUUCGGAUCCUGGGCGCAGACAUGGCACCGCUCGUCAGGCCACGUUGAGGCACCAUCCCACAUCCCACAACUAGAAGCACGUGCAACUAGGAUAUACAACUGUGUACGGGGGAGGUGAUUUGGGGAGAUAAAGCAGAAAAAAAAAAAAAAAGAUUGGCAACAGUUGUUAGCCCAGGUGCCAAGCUUUGAAAAAAAAUUAAAAAAAAAAAAAAAGGAAGAUUGGCAACAGUUGUUAGUCCAGGUGCCAAUCUUUAAAAAAAAAGAGAUGCAGGAAAACAUAAGAUGUAUGAGGCUGCUGCCAGAGUAACACGGCAUACUGUUUUAUAGCAAGCUGUUUUUUUAAUAAGUAGAAAGAGUACCAUCUAAAAUAAUGAUAAAAGUAUAGUAUAGUAAGUAUAUAAACCAAUAACAUAGUUGUUCAUUAUCAUUAUCAAGUAUUACGUACUGCACACAAUUGUAUUGCUAUACUUUUAUAUGACUGGCAGCCCAUAGGUUUGUUUACACUAGCUCCACCACAAGCAUGUGAGUACUGUAUUGUGCUAUGACAUUACAAUGGCUACCACAUCAGUAGGCAAUAGGAAUUUUUCAGCUCCACUAUAACCUUAUGGGACCACUACUGCAUAUGCAGUCCGUCAUCGACAGAAAUGGUGUUACGUGCUGCAUGACUGUAUAAUCAACUGACCUUUGAAAAAAAAGAGCAAAGGCAAUACAAUGAAGAAAAGAUAAUCUUUUCAAUAAGUCGUGCCAGAAGAACUGGAAAUCCACAUGCAAAAAAAUGAAUGUGGACACCCACUUACACCCUUCACAAAAAUUAACCAAAAUGAAUUAGGUCUAAAUGUAAAAUGCAAAACUAAAAACACUCCUAGAAGAUAAUAUGGUAAAAAACCUAGGUGAUCUGGACAAUUGGGUUUGGUGAUGACUUUUUAGAUACAACACCAAAGGCAGGAUCCCAUGAAAGAAACAAAUUAAAAUUAAAAUCAUUACAAUUAAAAACUUCUGCUCUGCAAAAGACACUGUCAACAGGACAAAAAGACAAGCCACACACUGGGAGAAAAUAUUUCCAAAAGACAUACCUGAUAAAAUACAGUUAUACAAAAUAUCCAAAGAACUCGUAAGACUCAACAAUAAGAAAACAAGCAGCUCAUUAAAAGUGGGCAAAAGAUCUGAACAUACACCUCACCAAAGAAGAUAUACAGAUGGCAAAUAAGCAAAUGAAAAGAUGCUUAAUAUCAUAUAUCAGUAAGGAACUGCACAUUGAAACAACAAAGAGAUACUACUACAGACCUGUUAGAAUGGUGAAAAUCCAAAAUGCUGACACCACCAAAUGAUGGCAUGGAUGGAGAGCAACAGGAAGACUCAUUCAUUGCUGAUGGGAAUGCAAAGCGGUACGUUUAAUUUGGAAGACAGUUUGGCAGUUUCUUAGAAAACUAAACAUACUUUCAUCAUAUGACCCAGCAAUGGUGUUCCUUGGUAUUUACCCAAAGGAGUUGAAAACUUAUAUCCACAGAAAAACCUGCACAUGAAUGUUUAAAGCAGCUUUAUUCAUAAUUGCAAAACUUGGAAGCAACUAAGACCUGCAGUGGGUGAAUGGAUAAACAGUGGUACUUCCAGAUAAUGGAACAUUGUUCGGCACUAAAAAGAAAUGAGCUAGCAAGCCAAGAAAAGACAUGAAAGAACGUUAAAUGCAUAUUACUAAAGUGAAAGAAGCUCAUCUCAAAAGGCUACUCAUUACACGGUUCCAACUAUAUGACAUUCUGGAAAAGGCAAAUCUAUGGAGACAGUUAUGGAUCAGUGGUUGCCAGGAGUUGAGCAGAGGAGGAAUGAGGAGAAGGAGCAGAGAGGAAUUUUAUUAUUCUCCCAGGAAUCAGAAAUAGGAAUUUCACUAUUCACAGAAUAGUGAAACUAUUCUGUAUGAUACAAUAAUGGUGGAUAAAUUUCAGCAUACAUUUGUGAAAACUCAUAGAAUGUACAACGCAAAAGUGAACCCUAAUAUCACAAAAAGGACGUUGGAUGAUAAUGAGGGAUCAAUGUAAUUUCACCCAAGGCAACAAAGGUACCAUCUUGGUUUGGGAUAUUGAUAGUUGGGGAGGCUGUGUGUAUGUGUGUGUGUGUGUGUGUGUAAUCAGGGGGUAUACGGGAACUCCCUACUAUCCUCUCAAUUUUGCUUUGAAUUUGAAAUUGC